CCCUUAGACGUUCUGGGCCGCACGCGCGCUACACUGACGAAGGCAACGAGCUUUCCUUUACCGAAAGGUACGGGUAAUCUUUUGAAACUUCGUCGUGCUGGGGAUAGAUCCUUGCAAUUUUUGAUCUUAAACGAGGAAUGCCUAGUAAGCGCAAGUCAUCAACUUGCGUUGAUUACGUCCCUGCCCUUUGUACACACCGCCCGUCGCUACUACCGAUUGAACGGUUUAGUGAGGCCUUCGGAUCCGCGACUCGUUUUGUGGAGAAGUUGGACAAACUCAGUCAUUUAGAGGAAGUAAAAGUCGUAACA
Molecule: ribosomal RNA, 308 nt
Filed under: uncultured eukaryote
Lineage: Eukaryota
Description: partial 18S ribosomal RNA
Rfam family: Eukaryotic small subunit ribosomal RNA
Source: RNAcentral